RNAcentral lists this long non-coding RNA (2343 nucleotides) under Ananas comosus (pineapple). RNAcentral's name for it is "long non-coding RNA (ACOM_LNC039212)". Lineage: Eukaryota; Viridiplantae; Streptophyta; Magnoliopsida; Poales; Bromeliaceae. The record is from RNAcentral.
UUGUUCCGGUUUUGGUUCUUGUGUAGGUCGACAUCGAUUCGUUCCAAAUUUACACUCUCGGGGCACAAUAGAACAAUAUAAUUAGCUUUUACUCUUUGUUCGAUUAAAUGAGAAAAAGUACUCGUUUCAAAGUUAUACUGUUAGGGCGCAACUGAGUAGUCUUUUUUGUUCCGGUUAUUGUUCUUUUAAAGGUUGACAUCAAUUCGUUGCAUAUUUACACUCUCGGGGUAUAAUAGAACAAUAUAAUUAGCUUUUGCUCUUUGUUCGAUUGAAUGUUAAAAAGUACUCGUCGCAAAGUUAUACUGUUAGGGCGCAACUGAGUAGUCUACUUUUGUUCCGGUUUAGGUUCUUUUGAAGGUUGACAUCCAUUCGUUCCAUAUUUACACUCUCGCGGUAUAAUAGAACAAUAUAAUUAGCUUUACUCUUUAUUCGAUUGAAUGAGAAAAAGUACUCGUCGCAAAGUUAUAUUGUUAGGGCGGAACUGAUUAGUCUUUUUUUGUUCCGGUUUUGGUUCUUGUGAAGGUUGACAUCGAUUCGUUCCAAAUUUACACUCUCCGGACACAAUAGAACAAUAUAAUUUGCUUUUACUCUCUGUUCGAUUAAAUGAGAAAUAGUACUCGUUGCAAAGUUAUGCUGUUAGGGCGCAUCUGAGUAGUCUACUUUUGUUCCAGUUUUGGUGUUUUUGAAGGUUGACAUCCAUUCGUACCAUAUUUACACUCUCGCGGUAUAAUAGAACAAUAUAAUUAGAUUUUACUCUUUGUUCGAUUGAAUAAGAAAAAGUACUCGUUCCAAAGUUAUACUGUUUGGGCGCAACUGAGUAGUCUAUUUUUGUUCCGGUUUUGGUUCUUAUGAAUGUUGACAUCGAUUCCAAAUUUACACUCUCGGGGCACAAUAGAACAAUAUAAUUAGCUUUAACUCUUUAUUGGAUUAAAUGAGAAAAAGUACUCGUUGCAAUGUUAUACUGUUAGGGCGCAACUGGGUAGUUUUUUUUGUUCCGGUUUUUGUUCUUUUAAAGGUUGACAUCAAUUCGUUCCAUAUUUACACUCUCGGGGUAUAAUAGAACAAUAUAAUUCGCUUUUACUCUUUGUUCGAUUGAAUGAUAAAAAGUACUCGUUACAAAGAUAUACAGUUAGGGCGUAACUGAGUAGUCUACUUUUGUUCCGGUUUAGGUUCUUUUGAAGGUUGACAUCCAUUCGUUCCAUAUUUACACUCUCGCGGUAUAAUAGAACAAUAUAAUUAUAUUUUACUCUUUGUUCGAUUGAAUGAGAAAAAGUACUCUUUGCAAAGUUAUACUGUUAGGGCACAAUUGAGUAGUCUAUUUUUGUUCCGGUUUUGGUUCUUGUGAAGGUUGACAUCGAUUCGUUCCAAAUUUACACUCUCGGGGCAUAAUAGAACAAUAUAAUUAGCUUUCGCUCUUUGUUCGAUUGAAUGAGAAAAAGUACUCGUCGCAAAGCUAUAUUGUUAGGGCGGAACUGAGUAGUCAUUUUUUGUUCCGGUUUUGGUUCUUGUGAAGGUUGACAUCGAUUUGUUCCAUAUUUACACUCUCGCGGUAUAAUAGAAUAAUAUAAUUAGCUUUUACUCUUUGUUCGAUUGAAUGUGAAAAUGUAUUCGUUGCAAAGUUAUACUGUUAGGGCGCAACUGAGUAGUCUAUUUUUGUUCCGGUUUUGGUUCUUGUGAAGGUUGACAUCGAUUCGUUCCAAAUUUACACUCUCAGGACAAAAUAGAACAAUAUAAUUAGAUUUUACUCUUUGUUCGAUUAAAUGAGAAAUAGUACUCGUUGCAAAGUUAUGCUGUUAGAGCGCAUCUGAGUAGUCUAUUUUUGUUACUGUUUUGGUUCUUUUAUAGGUUGACGUCAAUUCGUUCCAUAUUUACACUCUCGGGGUAUAAUAGAACAAUAUAAUUAGCUUUUACCCUUUGUUCGAUUGAAUGAAAAAAAGUACUCGUUGCAAAGUUAUACUGUUAGGGCGCAACUGAGUAGUCUAUUUUUGUUCCGGUUUUCGUUCUUGUGAAUGUUGAUAUCGAUUCGUUCCAAAUUUACACUCUCGGGGCACAAUAGAACAAUAUAAUUAGCUUUAACUCUUUAUUCGAUUAAAUGAGAAAAAGUACUCGUUGCAAAGUUAUACUGUUAGGGCGCAACUGAGUAGUCUUUUUUUGUUCCGGUUUUGGUUCUUUUAAAGUUUGACAUCAAUUCGUUCCAUAUUUACACUCUCGGUGUAUAAUAGAACAAUAUAAUUAGCUUUUACUCUUUGUUCGAUUGAAUGAGAAAAAGUACUCGUCGCAAAGUUAUAUUGUUAGGGCGAAACUGAGUAGUGUUUUUUUGUUCCGGUUUUGAUUCUUGUGAAG